Molecule: ribosomal RNA, 2863 nt
Filed under: Klebsiella pneumoniae 7699
Lineage: Bacteria; Pseudomonadati; Pseudomonadota; Gammaproteobacteria; Enterobacterales; Enterobacteriaceae
Description: bacterial LSU rRNA
Rfam family: Bacterial large subunit ribosomal RNA
Source: RNAcentral
UCAGAGGCGAUGAAGGACGUGCUAAUCUGCGAAAAGCGUCGGUAAGGUGAUAUGAACCGUUAUAACCGGCGAUGUCCGAAUGGGGAAACCCAGUGUGAUUCGUCACACUAUCGUUAACUGAAUACAUAGGUUAACGAGGCGAACCGGGGGAACUGAAACAUCUAAGUACCCCGAGGAAAAGAAAUCAACCGAGAUUCCCCCAGUAGCGGCGAGCGAACGGGGAGCAGCCCAGAGUCUGAAUCAGCUUGUGUGUUAGUGGAACGGUCUGGAAAGUCCGACGGUACAGGGUGAUAGUCCCGUACACCAAAAUGCACAGGCUGUGAACUCGAAGAGUAGGGCGGGACACGUGGUAUCCUGUCUGAAUAUGGGGGGACCAUCCUCCAAGGCUAAAUACUCCUGACUGACCGAUAGUGAACCAGUACCGUGAGGGAAAGGCGAAAAGAACCCCGGCGAGGGGAGUGAAAAAGAACCUGAAACCGUGUACGUACAAGCAGUGGGAGCACCUUCGGGUGUGACUGCGUACCUUUUGUAUAAUGGGUCAGCGACUUAUAUUCUGUAGCAAGGUUAACCGUAUAGGGGAGCCGCAGGGAAACCGAGUCUUAACUGGGCGUUAAGUUGCAGGGUAUAGACCCGAAACCCGGUGAUCUAGCCAUGGGCAGGUUGAAGGUUGGGUAACACUAACUGGAGGACCGAACCGACUAAUGUUGAAAAAUUAGCGGAUGACUUGUGGCUGGGGGUGAAAGGCCAAUCAAACCGGGAGAUAGCUGGUUCUCCCCGAAAGCUAUUUAGGUAGCGCCUCGUGAAUUCAUCUUCGGGGGUAGAGCACUGUUUCGGCUAGGGGGUCAUCCCGACUUACCAACCCGAUGCAAACUACGAAUACCGAAGAAUGUUAUCACGGGAGACACACGGCGGGUGCUAACGUCCGUCGUGAAGAGGGAAACAACCCAGACCGCCAGCUAAGGUCCCAAAGUCAUGGUUAAGUGGGAAACGAUGUGGGAAGGCACAGACAGCCAGGAUGUUGGCUUAGAAGCAGCCAUCAUUUAAAGAAAGCGUAAUAGCUCACUGGUCGAGUCGGCCUGCGCGGAAGAUGUAACGGGGCUAAACCAUGCACCGAAGCUGCGGCAGCGACACUAUGUGUUGUUGGGUAGGGGAGCGUUCUGUAAGCCUGCGAAGGUGACCUGUGAGGCAUGCUGGAGGUAUCAGAAGUGCGAAUGCUGACAUAAGUAACGAUAAAGCGGGUGAAAAGCCCGCUCGCCGGAAGACCAAGGGUUCCUGUCCAACGUUAAUCGGGGCAGGGUGAGUCGACCCCUAAGGCGAGGCCGAAAGGCGUAGUCGAUGGGAAACAGGUUAAUAUUCCUGUACUUGGUGUUACUGCGAAGGGGGGACGGAGAAGGCUAUGUUAGCCGGGCGACGGUUGUCCCGGUUUAAGCAUGUAGGCUGAUUGUCCAGGCAAAUCCGGAUAAUCAAGGCUGAGGUGUGAUGACGAGGCACUACGGUGCUGAAGUAACAAAUGCCCUGCUUCCAGGAAAAGCCUCUAAGCAUCAGGUAACAUCAAAUCGUACCCCAAACCGACACAGGUGGUCAGGUAGAGAAUACCAAGGCGCUUGAGAGAACUCGGGUGAAGGAACUAGGCAAAAUGGUGCCGUAACUUCGGGAGAAGGCACGCUGGUGUGUAGGUGAAGUCCCUGCGGAUGGAGCUGAGACCAGUCGAAGAUACCAGCUGGCUGCAACUGUUUAUUAAAAACACAGCACUGUGCAAACACGAAAGUGGACGUAUACGGUGUGACGCCUGCCCGGUGCCGGAAGGUUAAUUGAUGGGGUUAUCCGUAAGGAGAAGCUCUUGAUCGAAGCCCCGGUAAACGGCGGCCGUAACUAUAACGGUCCUAAGGUAGCGAAAUUCCUUGUCGGGUAAGUUCCGACCUGCACGAAUGGCGUAAUGAUGGCCAGGCUGUCUCCACCCGAGACUCAGUGAAAUUGAACUCGCUGUGAAGAUGCAGUGUACCCGCGGCAAGACGGAAAGACCCCGUGAACCUUUACUAUAGCUUGACACUGAACAUUGAGCCUUGAUGUGUAGGAUAGGUGGGAGGCUUUGAAGCGUGGACGCCAGUCUGCGUGGAGCCAACCUUGAAAUACCACCCUUUAAUGUUUGAUGUUCUAACGUUGGCCCCUUACCGGGGUUGCGGACAGUGUCUGGUGGGUAGUUUGACUGGGGCGGUCUCCUCCCAAAGCGUAACGGAGGAGCACGAAGGUUAGCUAAUCCUGGUCGGACAUCAGGAGGUUAGUGCAAUGGCAUAAGCUAGCUUGACUGCGAGCGUGACGGCGCGAGCAGGUGCGAAAGCAGGUCAUAGUGAUCCGGUGGUUCUGAAUGGAAGGGCCAUCGCUCAACGGAUAAAAGGUACUCCGGGGAUAACAGGCUGAUACCGCCCAAGAGUUCAUAUCGACGGCGGUGUUUGGCACCUCGAUGUCGGCUCAUCACAUCCUGGGGCUGAAGUAGGUCCCAAGGGUAUGGCUGUUCGCCAUUUAAAGUGGUACGCGAGCUGGGUUUAGAACGUCGUGAGACAGUUCGGUCCCUAUCUGCCGUGGGCGCUGGAGAAUUGAGGGGGGCUGCUCCUAGUACGAGAGGACCGGAGUGGACGCAUCACUGGUGUUCGGGUUGUCAUGCCAAUGGCACUGCCCGGUAGCUAAAUGCGGAAGAGAUAAGUGCUGAAAGCAUCUAAGCACGAAACUUGCCCCGAGAUGAGUUCUCCCUGAGACUUUAAGUCUCCUGAAGGAACGUUAAAGACGAUGACGUUGAUAGGCCGGGUGUGUAAGCGCAGCGAUGCGUUGAGCUAACCGGUACUAAUGAACCGUGAGGCUUAACCUU